RNAcentral lists this long non-coding RNA (4864 nucleotides) under Homo sapiens (human). Its description in RNAcentral is "HSALNT0307881". The record is from RNAcentral. Lineage: Eukaryota; Metazoa; Chordata; Mammalia; Primates; Hominidae.
AGUGUCUGUGGUGUCGGCGCUGCAGGAUGACGCGAGCCUCUCGCGUCCCUGGUUUUCUCGGUCGCAGCGUUGAGUUAUUGGGUGGAAAGGCAUCACCUUAGAGUCAACCUUCUUUGAAACCACUGUCUCAGAGAAAUCCCUCCAAGACACAGGUAAUUAGAGAGGGUAUGUGAACCAAGGAGCCAAUCAAAUUCUCCCACAUAAGAAUUUGGGACACAGAAGAUGAAGCUGAGGACCACAAGGAUUUAGAUACUGAUGCUGUAAGUUAUUCCUUUCUUUUUUUUAAAUUUAACACUUUCUAAAAAUUGACAGAUAAAAUUCUAUGUAUUUAUUAUGUACAACACGAUGACUUGAAGCACAUAUACCUUGUGGAAUGGUUAAACCUACCUAAUUAAUAUAUAUGUAUCAACUCACAUGGUUAUCAUUUUUGUGUUGAGAACACUUAACAUUGACUCUCUUAGCAUUCCUCAAGAGUGCAACAUAUUGCCAUUUAUUAUGGUCCCUAUGCUGUACAAUAGCCCUCUUGAAUUUAUUCUUCCGGCCUGAUUGUAAUUUUGUGUUCUUUGACCAAAAUCUCCCUAACAACCACUCCCACAAUCACUGCAGCCUCUGGUAACCACCAUUCUACUUUCUAUUUUUUGACAUUGACUUUUUAAGUUGCCUCAUUAUGAGUGAGAUCAUGUGGUGUAUUAGGCCAUUCUUGUGCUGCUAUAAAGAAAUAGCUGGUACUGGAUAAUUUAUAAAGAAAAUAGGUUUAAUUGGCUCAUGGUUCUGCAGGCUGUACAGGAAGCAUAAUUCUGGCAUAUGCUCAGCUUCUGGGAGGCCUCAGAAACUUGCAAUCAUGGCAGAAGGCAAAGGGAGAGUGAGACAUCUUACAUGGCAAAAGCAGGACUGAGAGAUGGGGAAGUGCUUCAUACUUUUUUAUUUUUUUUUUCAGACGGAGUCUCACUCUGUCACUGAGGCUGGAGUGCAGUGGCACAGUCUUGGCUCACUGCAACCUCCGCCUCCUGGGUUCAAGCAAUUCUCCUGCCUCAGCCUUCCAAAUAGCUGGGACUACAGGUGCGUGCCACCACACCCAGCUAAUUUUUGUAUUUUUAGUAGAGAUGGGAUUUCACUAUGUUAGCCAGGCUAGUCUCAAACUCCUGACCUCAUGAUCCACCUGCCUUGGUCACCCAAAGUGCUGGGAUUACAGGUGUGAGCCACCAUGCCUGGCUCACAGUUUUAAACAACCAGAUAUCAUGAGAACUCUAUCAUGUGAAUAGCACUAGGGGUAUAGGGCUAAAUAAUUCAUGAGAAACCACCCCCAUGAUUCAGUCACCUUCUACCUCCAGCAUUGGGGAUUAUAUUUUAACAUGAGAUCUGGGCAGGUACACACACCAAACCAUAUCAUUUCACCCUGCCGCUUCCCAAAUCUCAUGCCCCUCUCACAUUUCAAAAUACAAUCAUGCCUUCCCAACAAUGGCCCAAAGUCUUAACUCAGUCUAGCAUUAACUCGAAAGUCCACAGUCCAAAGUCUCCUUUGAGGCAAGACUAGUCCCUUCUGCCUAUGAGCCUGUAGAAUAAAAAACAAGCUAGUUUCUUUCAAGAUACAAUGGGGGUAAAGGCAUUGGGUAAAUGCUUUCAUUCCAAAUGUAAGAAAUUGGCCAAAACCAAGGGGCUACAGGCCCCAUGCAAGUCUGAAACUCAGCAGGGCAGGUAUUGGGUAAUUACUUCUAUUCCGAGGGAGAAAUCAGCCAAAGAAAGAGUCUAUAGGCCUGUGCAAGUCUGAAAGUCAGCAGGGGGUUGAGAGCUUAAAGUAAUUAAAUCUUAAAGCUCCAAAAUAAUGUAUUUCGACUCCUUGUCCCAUAUUCAGGGCAUGCUGGUACAAAAGGUGGGCUCCCGAAGCCUUGGGAAGCUCUGUCCCUGUGGCUUUGCAGGGUUCACCCACUCUGGCUGCUCUCAUGGGCUGGCAUUGAAUGUCUGUGGCUUUUCCAGAUGCAUGAUCCAAGCUGUUGGUGGAGCUACAAUUCUGGGGUCUGAAGGAUGGUGGUCCUCUUCUCAUAGCUCCACUAGGCAGUGCCCCAUUGGGGAUUCUGUGUGGGGGCUCCAACCCCACAUUUUCCUUCUGCAUUGUCCUAGUAAAGGGUCUCCGUGAGGGCUCUGCCCCUGCAGCUGGCUUCUGCCUGGACAUUCAGGCUAUUCCAUACGUUUUCUAAAAUCUAGGCAGAGGCUCCCAAGCCUCAACUCUUGGACUCUGUGCACCUACAGGUUUAACACCAUGUGGAAGCUACCAAGGUUUACAGCUUGCGCUCUCUGAAGCAAUAGCCUGAGGUGUACCUGAGCCCCUUUGAGCUACAGCUGGAGCUGGAGUGGCUACGAUGUAGGGAACAGUUUCCUGAGGCUGCAUGGGGCAGAGGGGCCCUGGGCCUGGCCCAAUAAACCAUUCUUCCCUCCUAGACAUCUGGGCCUGUGAUGGGAGGGGCUGUCAUGAGGGUCUCUGAAAUGCCUUUGAGGUCUUUCUCCCAUUGUCUUGGCUAUCAGCACUUGCCUUCCUUUUAGUUAUGCAAAUUUCUGCAGGCUGCUUCAAUUCCUCCCCUGAAAAUGGGCUUUUCUUUUGUACUACAUGGCAAAGCUGCAAAUUUUCCAAACUUUUACACUUUGCUUCCCUUUUAGAUAUAAGUUUCAGUUUUAGGUCAUUUCUUUGCUCAUGCAUAGAAGCAUAGGUUGUUAGAGGUAGCCAGGUCACAUCUUGAAUGUUUUGCUGCUUAGAAAUUUCUUCUGCCAGAUACACUAAAUCAUCCCUUUUAAGUUCUAAGUUCCACACAUCGCUAGAGCAGGGCACAAUACAGCCAGAUUCUUUGCUAAAGCAUAGCGGAAGUGACCUUUACUGAAGUUUGUGAACCCUGAAAAUCUGAGACAGUUAAUUUAGAAAGUUGAUUUUGCCAAGGUUGAGGACACAUGCUCAUGACGCAGCCUCAGGAGGUCCUGAUGACAUGUGCCCAAGGUGGUUAGAGCACAGUUUGGCUUUACAUUUAUGGAGACAUGAGACAUCAAUCAACAUAUGUAAGAUGAACAGUGGUUCCGUCUGAAAAGAUGGGAAAACUCGAAGCAAAGAUGGUAAGACUUUAAGCAGGGAGGGGGCUUCCAGGUCAUAGGCAGAUAAGAGACAAGUGGUUGCAUUCUUUUGAGUUUCUGAUUAGCCUCCCCAAAGGAUGCAAUUAGAAAUGUAUUUAUCUCAGUGAGCAGAGGGGUGACUUUGAAUAGAAUGGGAGGCAGUCCUAAGCAGUUCCCAGCUUGACUUUUCCCUUUAGCUUAGUAAGGUCCUAAUUUCUAUCUGAGACCUCCUCAGUCUGGAAUUCCUUGUCCAUAUCACUAUCAGCAUUUGGGUCAUAACAACUUAUCAAGUCUCUAGGAAGUUCCAAACUUUCCCUUGUCUUCCUGUCUUCUUCUGAGCUCUCCAAACUCUUCCAACCUGCCCAUUACCCAGUUUCAAAGUCAUUUCCACAUUAUCAGGUAUCUUUAUAGCAAUGCCUCACUCUUGAAUACCAAUUUUCUGUAUUUACUGCUAUAAGGAAAUAUCUGAGACUGGGUGAUUUAUAAAGAAAAGAAGUUUAAUUGGCUCAGGAUUCCACAGGCUAUACAGGAAGCAUAAUUCUGGCAUCUGCUCAGAUUCUGGGGAGGCCUCAGGAAAUGUGCAAUUAUAGCAGAAGGCAAAGGGGGAGUGAGGCAUCUUACAUGGCAGGAGCAGGACCAAGAAUGGGAGGGAGGUGCUACACACUUUUAAACAACUGGAUCUCAUGAGAACUCUGUUACGAGAACAGCAUCAGGGGGAUGAUGUAAACCAUUCAUGAGAAACUGCCCCCAUGAUUCAAGCACCUUCCACAAGGCCCCACAAUCAGCACUGGGGAUUACAUUUCAACAUAAGAUUGGGGUGGGGACAGAAAUUCAAAUUGUAUCAUGUGGUAUUUGUCUUUCUGCACCUGUUUUAUUUCACUUUGCAUAAUGUCCUCUAGGUUUAUCCGUGUUGUAUUAAAUGACAGAAUUUUAUUCUUAUUUUAUGGCUGCAUAGUAUUUCAUUGUGUAUAUAUACCACUUUAAAAAAUUCUAUUCAUCUGUUUAUGGAUACUUAAAUUGAUUCCAUAUCUCAGCUAUGUUGCUUGCAGUAAACACGAGAGUGCAGAUAGCUCUUUGACAUACUGAUUUCAUUUUCUUUGGCUAUAUACCCAGUAGUGGGAUUGCUCGAUCAUAUAAUAGUUUCAUUUUUUUAUUUUUUGAGGAAACUCCAUAUUGUUUCCUAUAAUGGUUGUAUUAAUUUGCAUUCCCACCAACAGUGUGCAAGAAUUUCCUUUUCUUCACAUCUUUGCCAACUUUUGUUAUCUUUUGUCUUUUCGAUAAUAGUCAUUCUAACAGAAGUGAGAUGAUACCUCCUUGUGGUUUUGCAUGUGCUGUGAGAUAAGAGUCUAAUUUCCUUCUUUGCAUGAGGAUGUCCAUUUUUCCCAAUACAAUUUAUUGAAGAGACUGUCCUUUCCCCACUGUGUGUAGUUUGUCAAAAAUAAGUUGGCUGCAAAUGAGCAGAUUUAUUUCUGGGCUAUUUUGUUCCAUUGGCAUAUAUAUCUGUUUUUAUGUUAGUACCACGGCUGUUGGGUUACUAGAGCUUUGUAAUAUAUCUUGAAGUCAGGUACUGUGAUGCCUCUAGCUUUGGUCUUUUUGCUUAAGAUGAUUUUGGCUAAUCAGGUCUUUUUUUGUUCCACACAAAUUUUAGAAUGUUUUUUCUCUUUAUGUAAAGAAUGCCAUUGCUAUUUUGAUAAGGAUUGCAUUGAAUAUAUUUGGGUAGUGUGGACAUUGUAACAAUAUUAGUUAUUUCAGUCCAUGAAUACAAGUACCU